Molecule: ribosomal RNA, 513 nt
Filed under: Bacillus pumilus
Lineage: Bacteria; Bacillati; Bacillota; Bacilli; Caryophanales; Bacillaceae
Description: partial 23S ribosomal RNA
Rfam family: Bacterial large subunit ribosomal RNA
Source: RNAcentral
GCUGUAAGCAAGCUUUGAUCCGGAGAUUUCCGAAUGGGGAAACCCACUGCUCGUAAUGGAGUAGUAUCCAUACUUGAAUACAUAGAGUAUGAGAAGGCAUACCCGGGGAACUGAAACAUCUAAGUACCCGGAGGAAGAGAAAGCAAAUGCGAUUCCCUGAGUAGCGGCGAGCGAAACGGGAACAGCCCAAACCAAGAGGCUUGCCUCUUGGGGUUGUAGGACACUCUAUACGGAGUUACAAAGGAACGAUAUAAGCGAAGAGGUCUGGAAAGGCCCGCCAAAGAAGGUAACAGCCCUGUAACUGAAAUGUUGUUCUCUCCAGAGUGGAUCCUGAGUACGGCGGAACACGUGAAAUUCCGUCGGAAUCCGGGAGGACCAUCUCCCAAGGCUAAAUACUCCCUAGUGACCGAUAGUGAACCAGUACCGUGAGGGAAAGGUGAAAAGCACCCCGGAAGGGGAGUGAAAUAGAUCCUGAAACCGUGUGCCUACAAGUAGUCAGAGCCCGUUAAAGGG